GACGGAGGAUGCAAGUGUUAUCCGGAAUCACUGGGCGUAAAGCGUCUGUAGGUGGUUUAAUAAGUCAACUGUUAAAUCUUGAGGCUCAACCUCAAAAUCGCAGUCGAAACUAUUAGGCUAGAGUAUAGUAGGGGUAAAGGGAAUUUCCAGUGGAGCGGUGAAAUGCGUAGAGAUUGGAAAGAACACCGAUGGCGAAGGCAGCUUACUGGGCUGUAACUGACGCUGAUGCACGAAAGUGUGGGGAUCAAACAGG
This 253-nucleotide ribosomal RNA is filed under the name uncultured bacterium. RNAcentral describes it as "partial 16S ribosomal RNA". It matches the Rfam family "Bacterial small subunit ribosomal RNA", at positions 524 to 776 of the family's 1533-position model. The record is from RNAcentral.